UUGUACAGAAGUAAAAAUUUACAAUUAAUUUCGACUUAAUCUUUAAGACCCUGCUAGCUCUUCGUACAAU
Molecule: transfer RNA, 70 nt
Filed under: Bemisia tabaci
Lineage: Eukaryota; Metazoa; Arthropoda; Insecta; Hemiptera; Aleyrodidae
Description: tRNA-Arg
Source: RNAcentral